AAGUAUUCAUAUACACAUAAUUAGACCUUGACCAUCAAUGGAGUGACUCUAGGCAUAGUUGCUAACAUUAAUGUCAUGGUAAACCUACCGAGCAAUGGAUAGGGAGGAGCACUUCGUCCUAGGAUCCAGUCACCUUUAACUCAAAUAACCCAAAACAUGAAGUUUAAAAACGUGAAUAUAAACCCAGUGAGUGAACAUAGGAACGGAACAAGCAACGUUAAGAAAAGUUUAGAAAUCAUGAUGCACUUAAGUUCAAAAAUAAUGCAAUUUAGUUAAACUCUUAUUAAAACCCCUCAUUUCAAACCCUUGGUUGUUUAAUCACUCGAUGAUGAAGGAUCCAUGAACCACAAAAAAUUGAAGAGUGAAAACUUUAGUAAAAUUCAAGCAAGUCAAGCAUAAUGGAUUGAUUCUCGCUGUAGUGAAAAGGCAUUCUCGCUACAGCGAAAUUCUGGCCAGAUAAAAUCUAAGGGGUUUUCACUACCACAAGGAAGAUCCACUCAUGCCACAUUGUACAUUAAAUUCAACACAUUGACAAUAAUCAAGUUUUCUCAAUAUUCAAUGCAAUCACACAUUAUUUUCAUACCCCUUUCUAUAGCAUAUAAAAACAUAUCAUAGCAUAUAUAUAUAUAUACAAGCAUGUAUACAACCACCACCUCACCCAGCUCAUGUGCACUCCGCCCGCACAUAGCAGAAGUCAUCUGUGCACUCCCUACUCGCACACUUCAACAUCAUUGUGUGCAUUCCCUACUCGCACACAUCAAUAUCAUCGUGUGCACUCCCUAUUCGCACACAUCAAUAUCACUAUCCACACUUCCGCAUCCCAUCAUCACCGGCAUGUGCAUCCC
RNAcentral lists this long non-coding RNA (845 nucleotides) under Theobroma cacao (cacao). Its description in RNAcentral is "long non-coding RNA (TCAC_LNC001849)". Lineage: Eukaryota; Viridiplantae; Streptophyta; Magnoliopsida; Malvales; Malvaceae. The record is from RNAcentral.